This 83-nucleotide ribosomal RNA is filed under the name Arthrobacter globiformis. RNAcentral's name for it is "partial 23S ribosomal RNA". It matches the Rfam family "Eukaryotic large subunit ribosomal RNA", at positions 305 to 387 of the family's 3401-position model. Lineage: Bacteria; Bacillati; Actinomycetota; Actinomycetes; Micrococcales; Micrococcaceae. The record is from RNAcentral.
UCCAUCUAAAGCUAAAUACCGGCGGGAGACCGAUAGCGAACAAGUAGAGUGAUCGAAAGAUGAAAAGCACUUUGAAAAGAGAG